This 253-nucleotide ribosomal RNA is filed under the name uncultured bacterium. RNAcentral's name for it is "partial 16S ribosomal RNA". It matches the Rfam family "Bacterial small subunit ribosomal RNA", at positions 524 to 776 of the family's 1533-position model. RNAcentral also lists the same sequence under 1 other name. The record is from RNAcentral.
UACGUAGGGGGCGAGCGUUGUCCGGAAUUACUGGGCGUAAAGGGCGUGUAGGCGGCCUGUUAAGUCAGGGGUGAAAGACCGGGGCUCAACCCCGGGGGUGCCUCUGAAACUGGCGGGCUUGAGUGCUCUAGAGGGCAGUGGAAUUCCCGGUGUAGCAGUGAAAUGCGUAGAGAUCGGGAGGAACACCAGUGGCGAAGGCGGCUGCCUGGGGAGUCACUGACGCUGAGGCGCGAAAGCUAGGGGAGCAAACAGG